Molecule: long non-coding RNA, 628 nt
Organism: Centrocercus urophasianus (Greater sage-grouse)
Lineage: Eukaryota; Metazoa; Chordata; Aves; Galliformes; Phasianidae
Exons: 3
Source: RefSeq, a predicted model, not a curated record
GCUGCAGUAAGGGUAGGAAGUUCAAAGAUGGAACGUGCAGCUGGGCGCAGCUUCCAGCCCCCUGUACGGGCUGCAGCGUGGCUCUGGGAAGGCCUCCUGAGAUACCCGGACGCAGCAGAGAAAAGCCAAAGCAGCUUCUGAGCAAACAUCUUCUAAAGAACCCAAACCUUUCCAAAGCUAACAAGGAAAGGAUUUCUUCCUCCAACUGAAGUGGAGUUAGCAAGGUUGUGAUGAAGCACUGCAUGCCGAGACCUGUACAAUGUCAGCGAUGAAUGUGUAUUAAGAUGAGAAGAUUCAUAAAACUCUGGGCAAAAAGAUUGGCCCCAUCUCUCUACUGCCUGAUGUAUACAUCGUUAUUUCAACAGCAGACAAACAGAACAGAAUGUUUAUAGGAGCAUGCAGAUGAUUCAUUAGUCCUUGCUGAUGGUGUUGUCUUCAAACCAAAGGAUGUUGAAGAUCAUGAGAGGAGGAAGAAGGAAGAAAGAGAAGGCACAAAGCACAAGUAAUGUGGUGCACUUUAGCAAUCUCUGCAAUCCUAAAUCACCCCUGUGUGCAUCCCUUGAAGAUAUAGAUACAGAUAUGGAUACACAGAGGCAAGAAUGGAAGGAAAGCAUCAAGAAGCACAUAA